Molecule: ribosomal RNA, 254 nt
Filed under: uncultured bacterium
Lineage: Bacteria
Description: partial 16S ribosomal RNA
Rfam family: Bacterial small subunit ribosomal RNA
Source: RNAcentral
UACGGGGGGUGCGAGCGUUGUCCGGAAUUAUUGGGCGUAAAGAGCUCGUAGGCGGUGUGUCGCGUCGGUCGUGAAAACUUGGGGCUUAACCCUGAGCUUGCGGUCGAUACGGGCAUCACUUGAGUUCGGCAGGGGAGACUGGAACUCCUGGUGUAGCGGUGAAAUGCGCAGAUAUCAGGAAGAACACCGGUGGCGAAGGCGGGUCUCUGGGCCGAUACUGACGCUGAGGAGCGAAAGCGUGGGGAGCGAACAGG